ACGAGCGGCGGACGGGUGAGUAAUGCUUGGGAACAUGCCUUGAGGUGGGGGACAACAGUUGGAAACGACUGCUAAUACCGCAUAAUGUCUACGGACCAAAGGGGGCUUCGGCUCUCGCCUUUAGAUUGGCCCAAGUGGGAUUAGCUAGUUGGUGAGGUAAUGGCUCACCAAGGCGACGAUCCCUAGCUGGUUUGAGAGGAUGAUCAGCCACACUGGGACUGAGACACGGCCCAGACUCCUACGGGAGGCAGCAGUGGGGAAUAUUGCACAAUGGGCGCAAGCCUGAUGCAGCCAUGCCGCGUGUGUGAAGAAGGCCUUCGGGUUGUAAAGCACUUUCAGUCAGGAGGAAAGGUUAGUAGUUAAUACCUGCUAGCUGUGACGUUACUGACAGAAGAAGCACCGGCUAACUCCGUGCCAGCAGCCGCGGUAAUACGGAGGGUGCGAGCGUUAAUCGGAAUUACUGGGCGUAAAGCGUACGCAGGCGGUUUGUUAAGCGAGAUGUGAAAGCCCCGGGCUCAACCUGGGAACUGCAUUUCGAACUGGCAAACUAGAGUGUGAUAGAGGGUGGUAGAAUUUCAGGUGUAGCGGUGAAAUGCGUAGAGAUCUGAAGGAAUACCGAUGGCGAAGGCAGCCACCUGGGUCAACACUGACGCUCAUG
Molecule: ribosomal RNA, 658 nt
Filed under: Pseudoalteromonas sp. GHL02
Lineage: Bacteria; Pseudomonadati; Pseudomonadota; Gammaproteobacteria; Alteromonadales; Pseudoalteromonadaceae
Description: bacterial SSU rRNA
Rfam family: Bacterial small subunit ribosomal RNA
Source: RNAcentral